CCUACGGGUGGCUGCAGUGGGGAAUAUUGGACAAUGGGCGAAAGCCUGAUCCAGCCAUGCCGCGUGUGUGAAGAAGGCCUUCGGGUUGUAAAGCACUUUCAGUGGGGAAGAAAGCCUUGGGGCUAAUACCCUCGAGGAAGGACAUCACCCACAGAAGAAGCACCGGCUAACUCCGUGCCAGCAGCCGCGGUAAUACGGAGGGUGCGAGCGUUAAUCGGAAUUACUGGGCGUAAAGCGCGCGUAGGCGGUCUGAUAAGCCGGUUGUGAAAGCCCCGGGCUCAACCUGGGAACGGCAUCCGGAACUGUCAGGCUAGAGUGCAGGAGAGGAAGGUAGAAUUCCCGGGGGAGCGGUGAAAUGCGUAGAGAUCGGGAGGAAUACCAGUGGCGAAGGCGGCCUUCUGGACUGACACUGACGCUGAGGUGCGAAAGCGUGGGUAGCAAACAGGAUUAGAUACCCUUGUAGUC
This 465-nucleotide ribosomal RNA is filed under the name Vreelandella stevensii. RNAcentral's name for it is "partial 16S ribosomal RNA". It matches the Rfam family "Bacterial small subunit ribosomal RNA", at positions 338 to 795 of the family's 1533-position model. The record is from RNAcentral. Lineage: Bacteria; Pseudomonadati; Pseudomonadota; Gammaproteobacteria; Oceanospirillales; Halomonadaceae.